CUCAGGACGAACGCUGGCGGCGUGCCUAAUACAUGCAAGUCGAACGCUUCUUUUCCCACCGGAGCUUGCUCCACCGGGAAAAGAGGAGUGGCGAACGGGUGAGUAACACGUGGGUAACCUGCCCAUCAGAAGGGGAUAACACUUGGAAACAGGUGCUAAUACCGUAUAACAAUCGAAACCGCAUGGUUUCGUUUUGAAAGGCGCUUUACGGUGCCGCUGAUGGAUGGACCCGCGGUGCAUUAGCUAGUUGGUGAGGUAACGGCUCACCAAGGCCACGAUGCAUAGCCGACCUGAGAGGGUGAUCGGCCACAUUGGGACUGAGACACGGCCCAAACUCCUACGGGAGGCAGCAGUAGGGAAUCUUCGGCAAUGGACGAAAGUCUGACCGAGCAACGCCGCGUGAGUGAAGAAGGUUUUCGGAUCGUAAAACUCUGUUGUUAGAGAAGAACAAGGGUGAGAGUAACUGUUCACCCCUUGACGGUAUCUAACCAGAAAGCCACGGCUAACUACGUGCCAGCAGCCGCGGUAAUACGUAGGUGGCAAGCGUUGUCCGGAUUUAUUGGGCGUAAAGCGAGCGCAGGCGGUUUCUUAAGUCUGAUGUGAAAGCCCCCGGCUCAACCGGGGAGGGUCAUUGGAAACUGGGAGACUUGAGUGCAGAAGAGGAGAGUGGAAUUCCAUGUGUAGCGGUGAAAUGCGUAGAUAUAUGGAGGAACACCAGUGGCGAAGGCGGCUCUCUGGUCUGUAACUGACGCUGAGGCUCGAAAGCGUGGGGAGCAAACAGGAUUA
Molecule: ribosomal RNA, 786 nt
Filed under: Enterococcus mundtii
Lineage: Bacteria; Bacillati; Bacillota; Bacilli; Lactobacillales; Enterococcaceae
Description: bacterial SSU rRNA
Rfam family: Bacterial small subunit ribosomal RNA
Source: RNAcentral